GGAUUGAUGGUGUAGAGGUAACACAUCCUGGUCAAGUGGCAGACAUGUACAAGUUGCCCUGGGAAGUCCCUCGUUCAAAUCGGGGUCAAUCCA
Molecule: non-coding RNA, 93 nt
Organism: Favolaschia claudopus
Lineage: Eukaryota; Fungi; Basidiomycota; Agaricomycetes; Agaricales; Mycenaceae
Source: the annotation of a GenBank genome assembly